CUCCUAUCGGUUUCUUCUCCCCUCUUGGGUGGUACAGAGAGAAAAGGAGGAGGGGGGUUCAAUGGCUGCUGUGUGAUGCUGCAGUUGCUGCUUGAGUACUCACUUGAAGGGGAGAUGGUGGGAUGAAACUUUUAUUAAUUAGAUGGAGUGAAUUUUCCAUAAUGCCCCUAUUUUUCUCUAUAGGGAGGCUCCUUGGACAAAUUCUUUUCUUUACCUUGGCCAUGAAGUGCCAUGGGAUGACCUUUUCCUAUUCUGCUCUUGCUUGACGGGGUAAACAGUAUUGUCAAGCAUUAUCUCAGUUAUUUAAUCAGUUUCAUGCCCUUUUUUUAGGAUAAUUACUUUUCUGUGCUCCCAUUAAAGAAUUAUAUUAAAUUAAAAAGAUUUCUUGUCUGUUUUUGUUAGAUUCAUGUAUCUUUAUUUCAAAUAGUAUACUUAAUAGCUAUCUAUUUUCAUAUCAUUUUUUAAGUAUUUUAU
Molecule: long non-coding RNA, 474 nt
Filed under: Phoenix dactylifera (date palm)
Lineage: Eukaryota; Viridiplantae; Streptophyta; Magnoliopsida; Arecales; Arecaceae
Description: long non-coding RNA (PDAC_LNC023043)
Source: RNAcentral